Molecule: ribosomal RNA, 360 nt
Filed under: uncultured bacterium
Lineage: Bacteria
Description: bacterial SSU rRNA
Rfam family: Bacterial small subunit ribosomal RNA
Source: RNAcentral
AAUCAACGCUGGCGGCGUGCCUCAGACAUGCAAGUCGAACGAGAAAGUCCCCUUCGGGGGGAUGAGUAAAGUGGCGCACGGGUGAGUAACACGUAGGUAAUCUACCUUCGGGUGGGGAAUAACCCAGGGAAACUUGGGCGUAACACCGCAUAAUGCAGCGGCACCACAUGGUGACAGUUGUUAAAGUGGGGGAUUUUAGGACCUUCGCGCCUGAAGAGGAGCCUGCGGCGGAUUAGCUAGUUGGNGAGGUACGGCUCACCAAGGUAACGAUCCGUAGCCGGCCUGAGAGGGCGGUCGGCCACACUGACACUGACAUACGGGUCAGACUCCUACGGGAGGCAGCAGUCGGGAAUUUUGGGC